AACUGUGAUCUGUAGCCUGGAUGCUCCGGGCAGGGGUGUGCAUUGCAGCUCUACCCUGGCUCCAGACCAGGCUGUCAUAGCUGCAAGGAGCUGGGGCAGAGCCACAAUCCCCUGCUUGCAUGCCCCUGCCCAGAGCAUGCAGGAUACAGAUCGUGGCUCUA
Alligator mississippiensis (American alligator) is the source of this 161-nucleotide non-coding RNA. NCBI's taxonomy places the organism in Eukaryota, Metazoa, Chordata, Crocodylia, Alligatoridae. The record is from Rfam.